AUUGAACGCUGGCGGCAUGCUUUACACAUGCAAGUCGAACGGUAACAGCACUUCGGUGGCUGACGAGUGGCGAACGGGUGAGUAAUACAUCGGAACGUGCCUAGUAGUGGGGGAUAACUACUCGAAAGAGUAGCUAAUACCGCAUGAGAUCUGAGGAUGAAAGCAGGGGACCUUCGGGCCUUUCGCUACUAGAGCGGCUGAUGGCAGAUUAGGUAGUUGGCGGGAUAAAAGCUUACCAAGCCGACGAUCUGUAGCUGGUCUGAGAGGACGACCAGCCACACUGGAACUGAGACACGGCCCAGACUCCUACGGGAGGCAGCAGUGGGGAAUUUUGGACAAUGGGCGCAAGCCUGAUCCAGCAAUGCCGCGUGGAGGAUGAAGGCCUUCGGGUUGUAAACUGCUUUUGUACGGAACGAAAAGCCCUCUGCUAAUACAGGAGGGUCAUGACGGUACCGUAAGAAUAAGCACCGGCUAACUACGUG
Molecule: ribosomal RNA, 482 nt
Filed under: uncultured bacterium
Lineage: Bacteria
Description: partial 16S ribosomal RNA
Rfam family: Bacterial small subunit ribosomal RNA
Source: RNAcentral